GCACAAGCGGUGAGCAUGUGGUUAAUUCGACGCAACGCGAAGAACCUUACCAGGGCUUGACAUCCCCUGACCGCGUAUGAAAGUACGUUUUCACCCUCGGGUGACAGGGAGACAGGUGGUGCAUGGUUGUCGUCAGCUCGUGUCGUGAGAUGUUGGGUUAAGUCCCGCAACGAGCGCAACCCCUACGUUUAGUUGCUAACAGGUGAAGCUGAGCACUCUAGACGAACUGCCGUUGACAAAACGGAGGAAGGUGGGAUGACGUCAAAUCAUCAUGCCCCUUAUGUUCUGGGCUACACACGUGCUACAAUGGCCGGUACAGACGGAGGCGAAGCCGCGAGGCGGAGCAAAUCCGAAAAAGCCGGUCUCAGUUCGGAUUGCAGGCUGCAAUUCGCCUGCAUGAAGUCGGAAUCGCUAGUAAUCGCAGGUCAGCAUACUGCGGUGAAUACGUUCCCGGGCCUU
This 459-nucleotide ribosomal RNA is filed under the name uncultured Pelotomaculum sp. RNAcentral describes it as "bacterial SSU rRNA". It matches the Rfam family "Bacterial small subunit ribosomal RNA", at positions 923 to 1382 of the family's 1533-position model. The record is from RNAcentral. Lineage: Bacteria; Bacillati; Bacillota; Clostridia; Eubacteriales; Desulfotomaculaceae.